Carassius auratus (goldfish) is the source of this 883-nucleotide long non-coding RNA. RefSeq lists it as uncharacterized. Lineage: Eukaryota; Metazoa; Chordata; Actinopteri; Cypriniformes; Cyprinidae. The transcript has 3 exons. The record is from RefSeq and is a predicted model, not a curated record.
AUGGUGAAAGAGAUUGUGGAGAAACAACAGCAACAGCAGCCUGUUACAAAGAGGACACGGAACUGUCUUGCUUGUGGCCAGCCAAAGUCACGUUACCUUGGUGAUGGGUCCUCCAUUCAUUUUUUUUAUCAGUCUGGGGAUGUGAAGUACUUUUACUGCUCUACAAAGGUACACCAGAUGUAUGCAGCGGAAGGCCUCACCAAUCCUCGAAUGCCAUUUGCUGACUUUGCUGAAACACCUUUUUUUAAACGAGAGCUACAGGCCGCAAAGCAGCGUUCUGCAGAGACAAGACAGGUAAUAGAGGAGCGGAGAAAGAGAAAGUCCAUGGAGCAGCAUCCCACUGGUCGCCUCUGUAGGUUCUGCCACAAGCCACUAAAACAAGGCCCAGAGAGUCCACACAUACACACUGGGUUCCCUGGUGUGGCAGGGAAAUAUGUCUAUUGUCCUGCCAGAGUGUUUUCCUUAUAUCAGACAGAGGGGAUGACUCACGAGAUGAUUUGGGGAGAGUUCUGUCAGUCUUCCUUUUAUGAGACUGAAAGGAAGAGAUGGGCAGCAGAAAAGGGAAAGUGACUGCCCUCAUGUUUCCUGGUUUUAAAUGAAUGUUUAGAUGAAGCAUCCUCUGUCAAGACCCAUCCUCCGCAGAGUAGGUCACCCUAAAGACGGUCUCAGUCCACCAAAACAUCACACCAGACACUUUGACAGCGGAGGAUCAAAGGUCAGAAGGGUUUCUUCCAGAUGCAGAACACCACACCAUCGGCCAUAACUGCGUCCCUCGUUCAGCUCACACUGGACCCCUCAGAACGGCUGGUCUUCGUGUUGGACCAUAGAUGGACAGAUCUGCUGAGAAUUGCCCGUGAAGAUCUCUUGGCAACGCACCAUAGGA